AACCUAAGGAUUCCUCUGGAAGGCUCGUCCACGGAGGGUUAGUCAGGACCUAAAAUGAGGCCGAAAGGCGUAAUUGAUGGACAACAGGUUAAUAUUCCUGUACUAUUUAUUAUUGAUAUCGAGGGACGGAGAAGGCUAAACUAGCCGGAUGUUGGUUACCGGUUUAAACGUUAAAGGUUAUAAUAAGUGGUGAAAACACUUAAAGCUAAGACGUGAGUACAAAAUACUACGGUAUUAAAGUAGUUGAUGUCAUACUUCCUAGAAAAGCUUGUAAUAUCAUAAAUAAUAAAUACCUGUACCCUAAACCGACACAGGUAGGUAAGUAGAGUAUACUAAGGGGCGCGAGAUAACUCUCUCUAAGGAACUCGGCAAAAUAGCCCCGUAACUUCGGAAGAAGGGGUACCCUGUAUAGGGUUGCAAUAACCAGGCCCAAGCGACUGUUUACCAAAAACACAGGUCUCCGCGAAGUCGUAAGACAAUGUAUGGGGGCUGACGCCUGCCCAGUGCCGGAAGGUUAAAGAAGUUGGUUAGUCAUAAAACGAAGCUAGUAACUGAAGCCCCGGUGAACGGCGGCCGUAACAAUAACGGUCCUAAGGUAGCGAAAUUCCUUGUCGGGUAAGUUCCGACCUGCACGAAUGGCGUAACGACUUCUCUGCUGUCUCAACCACAGGCCCGGUGAAAUUGCACUACGAGUAAAG
RNAcentral lists this ribosomal RNA (698 nucleotides) under Compsopogon caeruleus. RNAcentral describes it as "partial Bacterial large subunit ribosomal RNA". It matches the Rfam family "Bacterial large subunit ribosomal RNA", at positions 1342 to 2058 of the family's 2925-position model. Lineage: Eukaryota; Rhodophyta; Compsopogonophyceae; Compsopogonales; Compsopogonaceae. The record is from RNAcentral.